This 1519-nucleotide long non-coding RNA is filed under the name Manihot esculenta (cassava). RNAcentral describes it as "long non-coding RNA (MESC_LNC002544)". The record is from RNAcentral. Lineage: Eukaryota; Viridiplantae; Streptophyta; Magnoliopsida; Malpighiales; Euphorbiaceae.
UGCAACUACAUGGUUCAUAGUUGGCCUUUGAAUGGAAAUUGAUGGCACACAUGACAUUGCUAUCUCCACGAAUUUCCAUACAGAAUUGGUAUCAAAAUUUCCAUCUAGUCUUGGAUCAACCACAUUUCUUAUAUCCCCUCUUUCGAUAUAUGGGCUUACCCAAUUAACAAUAUGAAUGUUCUGAUCAUGGUUUUUGAUUACUGCAGAUUGGCCUGUGAUCAGCUCUAGAAGAACUAUUCCAAAGCUGUAAACAUCGCUUCUCUCAGUUAGCCUGCCGGAUGAGUAAUAUCUACAGAAACCAGCAAAAGAAAGUAGAAUCAAUUCCUUCACCUUCGGUAAGAAUUGAAGUUAUAGGCAUAUGCAGACUUGAGACUUACUCUGGAUCAAGGUAACCAACGGUGCCAACAACUCCGGUUGACAAAUGACUCUUACUGUCAGAUGGGAAAAUUUUUGAGAACCCAAAAUCAGCUAUCUUGGCCUGUAAAUUAUCGUUCAACAAAAUGUUGGCGCUUUUCACAUCUCUGUGAACUAUGGGUGGCUUGCAUCCAUUGUGCAAGUACUCUAGCCCUGCACAAUCGUUUUGUUAUUAGAUUAACCAACAUGAACAGAUGUGGUUAUGAGAAGUUUGAUUCUUUUUAGUUUCUUGACCUUGUGCUGCCUCCAAUGCAAUCUGCACCCUCUCUUUCCAACUCAGGACCUGCACUGCUUUAUCUGCAGGCAUAAUAUGAAUUAGUAUAAAAAACUCUGUUGUUUCUUUUUAUUUGCUUAGAGAUCGAAGGCUGAUUUGGGUAAAUAUGCAGGAAUUUGGAAAUGGGUUGAAGAGAUAUGGUACCCAAUAGAUAAUUUUCUAAAUUUCCACAGGCCAUGUAUUCAUAGACAAUCCCUGUGUUUCUGCUUUCAUUACAAUAACCAAUGAAUGAAGCUAAGUUCCUGUGAUGAACUCUCAUCAAGAGGUGAGCCUGUGAAAAAUUUUAUUCAAGCAGAAACAAUAUUAUAUGGCAAUCACACAUAAUAACACCUGAAAUUGAGUUGGGAUAUGAUUAUCAGACCUCAGUUCGAAAUUGAGCUGAGCCAUGAUCUGAUGUUGGAGAAAGCAUUUUGACAGCAACUUGGGUAUCAUCACUUAAGUAGCCAUGGUAGACUGUUCCAAAUCCCCCCUUCCCAAUAACAGUGCUAAAGUUGUUGGUAAUUCUUACAAUCUCAGCAUAUGUGAAUUGUCUGUUGUCUGACUUCAAUGACGACCCUUCUUCUUUGUGGCGAUCUAUGAACUUCCGUGCAACUUCAUAAAACAUUGCAAUUCUUUAUUAGCAUAGCUAUUAAUAGUUAAGCUACCAUGGAAAUAUGUUUUCUUUUAUUUUUUCAAAUUCAAUAAUCAUUGAGCUAAAUACAGGUACCAUUUUUUCUUUUGUAAAUACACAGGAUCACCAGUGCCAUUGCCAUGAGGAUGACUACCAAUGGAACAAUGGUUGCAACUAUUGGAACCCAAGCACGCUUCCUCUCUUCUUUACAUGGAGACAAC